UAUGAUUGCACGACCCAUGGCUCUCUAUACAGUUGGUGUUCUCUAGAAGCAAAAUAUUCAGGGAAAUGGAAAUAUUGCACGAAGGAUGACCAUCCCCCAUGUGUCUUCCCCUUUAACUAUAAUGGCAAAGUGUAUACGAGAUGCACGACCGAUGGGAGUAUAUUUAAAAAGUCGUGGUGCUCACUCACUAAAGACUUCGACAAGGAUGGAGCUUGGAAGAACUGCUACGACUAGUAGCACAGGAGGGACCCUACUCACAGCCAUGGAUCCAGUCAAGCCUUUGAAACCGAAGGGCAGAAAGCCAAAACAUCUCAAGCAUGGAGGGCAUACUCUGAGUGACAGAGGGCGACAUCCUUUCCCUGCAA
Molecule: long non-coding RNA, 365 nt
Organism: Eptesicus fuscus (big brown bat)
Lineage: Eukaryota; Metazoa; Chordata; Mammalia; Chiroptera; Vespertilionidae
Exons: 3
Source: RefSeq, a predicted model, not a curated record